This 448-nucleotide ribosomal RNA is filed under the name uncultured bacterium. RNAcentral's name for it is "bacterial SSU rRNA". It matches the Rfam family "Bacterial small subunit ribosomal RNA", at positions 29 to 521 of the family's 1533-position model. The record is from RNAcentral.
AGCGAACGCUGGCGGCAGGCUUAACACAUGCAAGUCGAACGGGCGUAGCAAUACGUCAGUGGCAGACGGGUGAGUAACGCGUGGGAACGUACCUUUUGGUUCGGAACAACCCAGGGAAACUUGGGCUAAUACCGGAUAAGCCCUUACGGGGAAAGAUUUAUCGCCGAAAGAUCGGCCCGCGUCUGAUUAGCUAGUUGGUGAGGUAACGGCUCACCAAGGCGACGAUCAGUAGCUGGUCUGAGAGGAUGAUCAGCCACAUUGGGACUGAGACACGGCCCAAACUCCACGGGAGGCAGCAGUGGGGAAUAUUGGACAAUGGGCGCAAGCCUGAUCCAGCCAUGCCGCGUGAGUGAUGAAGGCCCUAGGGUUGUAAAGCUCUUUUGUGCGGGAAGAUAAUGACGGUACCGCAAGAAUAAGCCCCGGCUAACUUCGUGCCAGCAGCCGCUGU